Molecule: ribosomal RNA, 253 nt
Filed under: uncultured bacterium
Lineage: Bacteria
Description: partial 16S ribosomal RNA
Rfam family: Bacterial small subunit ribosomal RNA
Source: RNAcentral
UACGUAGGGGGCAAGCGUUGUCCGGAAUCAUUGGGCGUAAAGAGCGCGUAGGCGGCCCAGUAAGUCCGCUCUGAAAGUCAGGGGCUCAACCCCUGGAUGCGGGUGGAUACUGCUGGGCUAGAGUCCGGAAGAGGUGAGUGGAAUUCCUGGUGUAGCGGUGAAAUGCGCAGAUAUCGGGAGGAACACCUGUGGCGAAAGCGGCUCACUGGACAGUAACUGACGCUGAUGCACGAAAGCUAGGGGAGCAAACAGG